UACGGAGGGGAGCUAGCGUUAUUCGGAAUUACUGGGCGUAAAGCGCACGUAGGCGGCUUUGUAAGUAAGAGGUGAAAGCCCAGAGCUCAACUUUGGAAUUUGCCUUUUAGACUGCAUCGCUUGAAUCAUGGAGAGGUCAGUGGAAUUCCGAGUGUAGAGGUGAAAUUCGUAGAUAUUCGGAAGAACACCAGUGGCGAACGGCGGCUGACUGGACAUGUAUUGACGCUGAGGUGCGAAAGCGUGGGGAGCAAACAGG
Molecule: ribosomal RNA, 256 nt
Filed under: uncultured bacterium
Lineage: Bacteria
Description: partial 16S ribosomal RNA
Rfam family: Bacterial small subunit ribosomal RNA
Source: RNAcentral